Molecule: ribosomal RNA, 382 nt
Filed under: Umbraculum sp. DTLT2001
Lineage: Eukaryota; Metazoa; Mollusca; Gastropoda; Umbraculida; Umbraculidae
Description: partial 28S ribosomal RNA
Source: RNAcentral
AACGGGUGGAUCCGCAAAGUCGGCCCGCGGAACUCAGCGCGGCGGGACGUCGCCCGGAGCUGCCGCGGUCUCGGGAUCCUUGUCAGUGACCCGGCCGCGGAGUUUGCGCCGGGCGCCGCCGCGUGCACUUUCCGCGGGCAGAGCGCCACGACCGGUUUGCCGGCGCCAGAAGGCCCGCGCGGGAAGGUAGGCGCAGGCCGUCAAAAGCCGGCGCUGUUACACGCCGCUGGGCUCGGGCCGCUGCCGGACCGAGGAACGACCGCGCCGCCCUGGAGGCUGCCCGGCCCUCCUGGGGAGUUCGACUGGCGGGGACUGGGCAACCGUGCCCUCCGACCGCUCCCGUGCGACGGGAUCGGGGCCAGCCGGGGUGCGCUGUGGGUCG